This is a long non-coding RNA of Vidua macroura (Pin-tailed whydah), 2732 nucleotides long. RefSeq lists it as uncharacterized. The record is from RefSeq and is a predicted model, not a curated record. The transcript is spliced from 6 exons. NCBI's taxonomy places the organism in Eukaryota, Metazoa, Chordata, Aves, Passeriformes, Viduidae.
GGCUGAGAGCUUGAUCCUGCAAACCCGCCUCCCAUCCUGCGGGAAGCUCCCAGCGCUGGGGCGGCCGGAACCGGCGAGCCGACCUUACUCGGGCGAGCAGGGACGCCCAGGGCCGGAGCCGGCUCAAUUCGAGCCAAGUCUCGCAGCGCUCUGCAGGGCGGCCGGGCCGGGCUCCGGCAGCGGGGCUGGGGCUCAUCCCCGCGCUGCCCCCGCCUGCCGGGCUCCAGUGCCACGGGAGAAGCUCUCCAACGUGUUUUUCUGGCAUCGCUGGGAAUGAUGGUUCCUUUAAGCUCUUGCAAAUUGCAGAAGUUGAGGAAGACAGAGAAAUAAUUAAUGUAUUAAAACAAGCAGCGAAUUCCUCAGGAGGCACCUUAUCAACUCCAGCCACACUGGCUUCAUCCCUCCUCGUAUGCUAAUACCCCGUGACGUCAUUGGCGCCAGAUUGAAUGUGAAUCAGUUAUGAAAUUAUUAGUUUUAGCUUAAAAAGCAAUCUGGCUCUCCCGUGAGUGGGCUUUGCGUUGCUGCGGGUUCUCGCUCCGUGUCCUCCCCAUGUUAUGCACACACAGUAGCUGCGACUUUCCUGUCGCAAUGAAUCAAUAUUUCCAAAGCACACAUUCUAACAGGGGGUGAUGUAAAGAAACCCAUAGAUUAAUUGGGUCCCGUUUCUGAGUCGGCUGUGUCUUCCUUAUCGAUACACACUUUACACCCGAAACCAGACAGGCGGAUUUCCUCCUACUUUUCAGGGUCUGUGUGAUCUCCUCCCGUGAGAGGCAGCUCAGCAGCUCGGUCCCCUCUGCCAUCUCAGCACUGCCAGGGGAGAAGCCCAGGAGGAGCAGAGCAGUGGCUGAGCAGCAAUCUGAAUAUCCAUAUUUAACUCUUCAAACAACAGAAGAUACUUCAGAACCAUGUUAAGAAGGAUAAGCUUGGAGUGCCCAGUCACCGUGGUAACUGCCAGAAAAAUUCUCCUGAAGUUUGAAGAGGUCAGCUAACGGGGUCAACAACUCUGGCCUCUCUCUGAGCUGGGCCUGGCAGGCUCCAUCCUGCGGUUGGGGUGUUAACGCAGGCUGAGCCCUGGGAGGUGGACCAUUCCAGCUCUGAUAUAAAUUUUUUGAGUCAGUUCACGGCCUGGACUCUCCAGGUGGCCUCCAAAAUCGAUUGUGACCUCGUGACCCUGUCUAACGGAGGCAUAGCAUCCAACCUAAGCAAGGAUUUAGCCAGGAACGACAGCUUUCCACUGAGUGUUAUUGGGGACAGUACAAACAGUUUGGGAAGCAAGGAGCCUGAUGAUGCAGGGUGAGGAGUGCCCAGAACCUUUGUGUGCUCAAGGCACAGCUUUAUCCCGGCCUUCAGUGGGACAGUGCACAUGGAAAUGUGUGAUCUAUUCCUUCCUGAGCCCCAGUGAUGCCUUUGCAGUUCCUCUCGCUGGUUCUCAUAUCCUGGCAAGAUGCUACAAACCCCAUGUGACAAAGAUUAGAAGGAAAUACUUAUUUGAAGAAAUCUCUGUCAUUAGCUGUGCUGAGAUAAUUCAAGAGGAAAAAAAAUCUAUAAAAUGAAACAGCAAAUUGUGAGCAUCUGUGUGCACACCCCUGUGUGUCCUGGUACCACUGCUGGCACACUGGCUCUCAGGAGGAGUUUCAGUGACGGGUGAACAUGUAACUUUCAGGUCCUGUCCCUCUGUUUCUGUGUGGGGUCCCCUGUUUAUUCCCAGAGCUGCUCGUCCCCAUCCCAGCCCAAGGCACUGCAGCAGCCCAGCAGCCUCAUGGCAGGAAUGUGACGCUGGAAUUGCAGGAGCUCUUUCCCCACUGCUGACUCGGAGAGCAGCGAUUUUGGCGGUGAAGGGGCUGCGUGGGGCCGGCCGGGGUCCCGGGCCGGGGGCACCGCUGGUGCUGGAGCUGUGCGGGAGCCGGGCACCCCGAGGGGCUCUGCAGGGUUAACCCGUUCUGUGCUGAGCAUCCACACACGGCGUGUUUGCUCACCCAGCUCUGCCAGGGGUGACUGCGGCUGCGGAGGGCAGCUCCGGGUGCUGGAAUUGCCGAGAUCCAGCCCAUCCCCCGGCCUGUGUGAAACUGCACAAAGCCUCCCCUAAACGUGAAUUUAAAACGCUUUCAAAUUGACGACCUCCUUUUAAAUAACAACAUUUAUGUUAAGCGAAAGGCAUGUUUGCCUCUACAAAUAAAUGGAAUUAUGGUUCUAAGACCUGACUUAAUCCUGAAGUUCUUAGACUGCACAGUAAGUAGAAAAGAAAGAGGAUUGUUUGGAGGAGCAGGGGUUAGCAGGAUCAGGCUCCAUCUUACAUCUUCCUGAUCAUUUUCCUUCUGGCAUUUAAUAUACCUUUCUCGGAACUACCACUGGCUGUUUAUAACAAAGCCAAAGUAACUUUGUGUUUAUUACCUAAUUGAAAAUAACGAGGGAUGGUACACAGUGUGCCCAUCCAUGUUUCCUGCUGGAAAAAUUUGGGUAUUGCUAAACAAACAAAAAAUGCUCUUCCUCCAAAUGUACUCUUAUGCUAAAGUCAUGUCCUUUUAAAAUUAAUUUCGGGACUUCUCUUAAAUGUGUUGCAAUUCUUUGUUCUUUUUCUACCCUAUUUUCUUUGUGAAAAUGUAUUUCAAAAUCUGCAUUGAGGUUUCAAAGGGUCUGGAGAAGAUGUUUACAGAGUAAUAAUGCCAUUUGUAUUUGUUAUAUUUCUGAAAAUGGAAUUUCUAAUCAGAAAAUAUUAAAAUACAUUUGUAUUA